GGGUAUUGGCCUACCGUGGCAAUGACGGGUAACGGGGAAUUAGGGUUCGAUUCCGGAGAGGGAGCCUGAGAAACGGCUACCACAUCUAAGGAAGGCAGCAGGCGCGCAAAUUACCCAAUCCUAAUACAGGGAUGUAGUGACAAGAAAUAACAAUACAGGACUUUAACAGUUUUGUAAUUGGAAUGGGUUGAGUAUAAACCCCUUUACAAGUAUCAAUUGGAGGGCAAGUCUGGUGCCAGCAGCCGCGGUAAUUCCAGCUCCAAUAGCGUAUAUUAAAGUUGUUGCAGUUAAAAAGCUCGUAGUUGGAUUUCUGUUAAUAAUUUAUAUAUAAUAUUUAACA
This 340-nucleotide ribosomal RNA is filed under the name Cryptosporidium canis. Its description in RNAcentral is "SSU rRNA". It matches the Rfam family "Eukaryotic small subunit ribosomal RNA", at positions 331 to 671 of the family's 1831-position model. Lineage: Eukaryota; Apicomplexa; Conoidasida; Eucoccidiorida; Cryptosporidiidae. The record is from RNAcentral.